RNAcentral lists this ribosomal RNA (921 nucleotides) under Xenocytaea albomaculata. Its description in RNAcentral is "eukaryotic LSU rRNA". It matches the Rfam family "Eukaryotic large subunit ribosomal RNA", at positions 180 to 822 of the family's 3401-position model. Lineage: Eukaryota; Metazoa; Arthropoda; Arachnida; Araneae; Salticidae. The record is from RNAcentral.
GGCAAGUCCCCCUGACCGGGGCCUGUCCGAAGCGGGUGCGAGGCCCAUAGCCGCCGUCUCCGCGUCCGGAUGCGAUCUCCUUGGAGUCGGGUUGCUUGGGAGUGCAGCCCUAAUCGGGUGGUAAACUCCACCUAAGGCUAAAUACCGCCGUGAGACCGAUAGCAAACAAGUACCGUGAGGGAAAGUUGCAAAGAACUUUGAAGAGAGAGUUCAAGAGUACGUGAAACUGCUCARAGGUAAACGGGUGGGCCCUCGAAAUCCUGUGGCGAGAGGAUUCAGUCCGUCCGACGGGACGCGGUUNNNNNNNNACGAGCAGGGAGUCCGCCGAGCGCGGGCCGUCCUCCUCCGCGAUCUCGGAAGGCAGACGCAUUUGACUCUCGUCCCGAGGACGCUGCAGCCGGUCCGGAAGUUUUUUUUGCAAGCGCGACGGCCUGGAGGCCGGGAGACGGCAGGUGGCCGGUGGCCCGCCACGUCGCGGGUCGUCGGUUGUUAGCCAUCCCGGCAGUGGCUCGUCUCCGGACCGAGGUGUCGCGAGUCCCCGCAGGGGAUUCGCCGUCUCCGCCCACGGCGCCGCGGGGCAGAGCGCGGCCCGGGCCCCCUUCGUCGACCGUCGCACUAACACGGAGUGGGCGGGAGAGUCGGGGGACCGAACCGCCGCGCCGGACCCGCGGGGGACUGGAGGCUUGCAGCGAGUAGGUCGGUCACCCACCCGACCCGUYUUGAAACACGGACCAAGGAGUYUAACAUGUGCGSGAGUCAGUGGGUYUUGAACAGGCCCACGGGCGCAAUGAAAGCGAAAGGUCCGCCGAGCGCGGACCCGAGUGGGGAUCCCUCUCCCUCCGUGGGGGGGGCGCACCCMCGACCCGCCCCGUCCGGCUCGCCGGUGGGGCGGAGUCUGAGCGUACACGUUGGACCCGAAAG